RNAcentral lists this ribosomal RNA (547 nucleotides) under Adumbratosticha tetracirrata. Its description in RNAcentral is "eukaryotic LSU rRNA". The stretch from base 165 to 316 matches the Rfam family "5.8S ribosomal RNA". Lineage: Eukaryota; Ciliophora; Spirotrichea; Urostylida; Urostylidae. The record is from RNAcentral.
UUGUGGGUGACCUCGGAAGGAUCAUUAACACUAAUCCAAUCUUUUAAACCAAGCCUUAAGUUGUAACAAUGGUGCAAGCUAGCGAAAGCAGGCAUGCUACUCUUGCUACAUCUACCAAAACUAAUCAUACAAAGAAGCCUAACUAAGCUCUUUAAUAAAAACCAAAUUCUCAACGUUGGAUAUCUUGGUUCCCAUAACGAUGAAGAACGCAGCGAAGUGCGAUAAGCAGUGCGAAUUGCAGAACCGUGAGUCAUCAGAUUUUUGAACGCAACUGGCGCCAGCUGGCUCCCCAGCUGGCAUGUUUGUUUCAGUGUCUCGUUUUCUCCUCACCCAAAUCAUAAUGCUUGAGAUACCCUUCUCUUGCUAAGUAUGAAAGCACUCUGCACUCUGCAGGCAGCCUUGACUUGUCAAGGGUUGCACUCAAUGCAGCAGUCACAUUUCUAAUGUGAACUCAUUGAGAGUAGAGGCAGCUCAGCUAGUCUGAAAGUGCUUAGUCAAUCAAACUCUACUUGUAUCUGAAAUCAAGCAGGACCACCCGCUGAACUUA